AGAUGGUAAUCCAAUGUAUAAGCAAUGGACUGUUUUAUUCUUGGUGCUUUCAAGACCUGAUGCUUUGUUUUGAACAGGUUGAUACAUCUAGCCUGCAACAUCCGACAGCUUCAGUUAUUGAGUGAAAUACAUCACCGCUUUCCCUGCUCCCGCCGCCAUUAAAAUUGUGUUUGGCAUCUGACCACCAAGAUACAGAUAUUUCCUAGACUGUUUUGCAGCUAGGUACUUAGCAUUUCUCUUUCCUCUGGAGAAAAAUAUCUGCUUUCUUUAAAAUAAAUGUUCCAUCCAUGCAGCUAAGCAGCUAAGGACACGAACAGCCACUGAUACAGGCCAACUCAUCAGUAGAUUAUUGAGAUUUCAUACUAGGACCUUUCAUUGGCUGAACAAAGACAAAGACAGAAAUCAAGGAAGGUCAAAGAAGCAGUCAGUUUUCUGGCACCCAAAGUUGUUGGAGAAGGGUACAGAGUCGGUAAAUAAGUCAUAUGACAGACAGGCAGUAUUUUCUUAUUUUAAUAACAAGUUUAAAAAUCCCACUUCUUGUACUUACCUUCUGUCUGACGUCAUCAGUAUUUUAAAAUGCCAACUGGGAUCAAGUUCAACACUGCAUUACUGAAGAAUCCAGAUUAUCUACAUUUCAAGUGCCAAAUGAAAGAAAGAACCCAGAAAAUAAAACAAUAUGAUGAUAACAGUAAAAUUUUUUAAAAUGAAA
This 709-nucleotide long non-coding RNA is filed under the name Homo sapiens (human). Its description in RNAcentral is "uncharacterized LOC105378798, transcript variant 2 (LOC105378798)". The record is from RNAcentral. Lineage: Eukaryota; Metazoa; Chordata; Mammalia; Primates; Hominidae.